Molecule: ribosomal RNA, 510 nt
Filed under: uncultured bacterium
Lineage: Bacteria
Description: bacterial SSU rRNA
Rfam family: Bacterial small subunit ribosomal RNA
Source: RNAcentral
AACGAACGCUGGCGGCGUGCUUAACACAUGCAAGUCGAACGCGAAAGGGACUUCGGUCCUGAGUAAAGUGGCGCACGGGUGAGUAACGCGUAGAUAACCUGUCUUCAUGUCUGGAAUAAUACGCCAAAGGGGUACUAAUACCGGAUAUUCUUGCUUUUCAUAAGUUAUGCAAGCAAAGGUGGCCUCUGCAUAUGCUACUGCAUGAAGAGGGGUCUGCGUACCAUUAGCUAGUAGGUGGGGUAAUGGCCUACCUAGGCGACGAUGGUUAGCGGGUCUGAGAGGAUGAUCCGCCACACUGGCACUGGAACACGAGCCAGACUCCUACGGGAGGCAGCAGUGAGGAAUAUUGCGCAAUGGGGGAAACCCUGACGCAGCGACGCCGCGUGAAGUGAGGAAGGCCUUCGGGUCGUAAAGCUCUGUCAAGAGGAAAGAAGUGUACAAUGGCUAAUACCUGUUGUAUUUGACGGUACCUCUAAAGGAAGCACCGGCUAACUCCGUGCCAGCCGCCGC